AUAGGUGAAGAACUCUGGAAUGAGUCUUUGCCAAAAAGACGUUUACGUUAUGCUCGUAGGCGUCGCCCAAGGAUGAGGCCGCGACCGAUCAGGUUGUUGGUGAGGUAAUGGCUCACCAAGCCUUUUACCGGUGCGGGCCGUGAGAGCGGGAGCCCGGAGAUGGGCACUGAGACACGAAUCCAGGCCCUACGGGGUGCAGCAGGCGCGAAAACUUUACAAUGCUGGAAACAGCGAUAAGGGGACCUCGAGUGCCAGGUUACAAAUCUGGCUGUCGUGAUGCCUAAAAAGCAUUGCAUAGCAAGGGCCGGGCAAGACCGGUGCCAGCCGCCGCGGUAACACCGGCGGCUCGAGUGGUAACCGUUAUUAUUGGGUCUAAAGGGUCUGUAGCCGGCCGGAUAAGUCUCUUGGGAAAUCCAGCAGCUCAACUGUUGGGCUUUCAGGAGAUACUGUCUGGCUCGAGGCCGGGAGAGGUGAGAGGUACUUCAGGGGUAGGGGUGAAAUCUUGUAAUCCUUGAAGGACCACCAGUGGCGAAGGCGUCUCACCAGAACGGACCUGACGGCAAGGGACGAAAGCUAGGGGCACGAACCGGAUUAGAUACCCGGGUAGUCCUAGCCGUAAACGAUACUCGCUAGGUGUCGGCCACGGUGCGACCGUUGUCGGUGCCGUAGGGAAGCCGUGAAGCGAGCCACCUGGGAAGUACGGCCGCAAGGCUGAAACUUAAAGGAAUUGGCGGGGGAGCACCAC
RNAcentral lists this ribosomal RNA (745 nucleotides) under uncultured archaeon. RNAcentral describes it as "bacterial SSU rRNA". It matches the Rfam family "Archaeal small subunit ribosomal RNA", at positions 156 to 882 of the family's 1478-position model. The record is from RNAcentral.